CCUACGGGAGGCUGCAGUGGGGGAUAUUGCACAAUGGGGGGAACCCUGAUGCAGCGACGCCGCGUGGGUGAAGAAGCGCCUCGGCGCGUAAAGCUCUGUCAGCAGGGAAGAAAAUGACGGUACCUGAAGACGAAGCCCCGGCUAACUACGUGCCAGCAGCCGCGGUAAUACGUAGGGGUCACGCGUUAUCCGGAUUUACUGGGUGUAAAGGGAGCGCAGACGGCGAUGCAAGCAAGGAGUGAACGCCCGGGGCCCAACCCCGGGACUGCUGGUGGACCUGCGUGGCGGGAGUGCAGGAGGGGCAGGCGGAAUGCCUGGUGUAGCGGUGAAAUGCGUAGAUAUCAGGAGGAACACCGGUGGCGAAGGCGGCCGGCUGGACUGCAACUGACGUUGAGGCCCGAAAGCGUGGGGAGCAAACAGGAUUAGAUACCCGAGUAGUC
RNAcentral lists this ribosomal RNA (440 nucleotides) under uncultured bacterium. RNAcentral's name for it is "partial 16S ribosomal RNA". It matches the Rfam family "Bacterial small subunit ribosomal RNA", at positions 338 to 795 of the family's 1533-position model. The record is from RNAcentral.